This 284-nucleotide ribosomal RNA is filed under the name uncultured Staphylococcus sp. Its description in RNAcentral is "partial 16S ribosomal RNA". It matches the Rfam family "Bacterial small subunit ribosomal RNA", at positions 505 to 782 of the family's 1533-position model. The record is from RNAcentral. Lineage: Bacteria; Bacillati; Bacillota; Bacilli; Caryophanales; Staphylococcaceae.
GUGCCAGCAGCCGCGGUAAUACGUAGGUGGCAAGCGCUUAUUCCGGAAUUAUCUGGGCGUAAAGCGCGCGUAGGCGGUUCUUUAAGUCUGAUGUGAAAGCCCACGGCUCAACCGUGGAGGGUCAUUGGAAACUGGAAAACUUGAGUGCAGAAGAGGAAAGUGGAAUUCCAUGUGUACGCGGUGAAAUGCGCAGAGAUAUGGAGGAACAGCCAGUGGCGAAGGCGACUUUCNUGGUCUGUAACUGACGCUGAUGUGCGAAAGCGUGGGGAUCAAACAGGAUUAGA